GACGAGGGGUCCUAGCGUUGUUCGGAAUCACUGGGCGUAAAGCGUAUGUAGGCGGCUUUUUAAGUCGGUUGUGAAAUCCCAUGGCUCAACCAUGGAAUUGCAUUCGAAACUGAAAAGCUUGAGUGUGGGAGAGAUUGGUAGAAUACCUGGUGUAGUGGUGAAAUACGUAGAUAUCAGGUGGAAUACCGGUGGCGAAGGCGGCCAAUUGGCCCAACACUGACGCUGAGAUACGAAAGCGUGGGGAUCAAACAGG
This 253-nucleotide unclassified non-coding RNA is filed under the name uncultured Pseudobdellovibrionaceae bacterium. RNAcentral describes it as "uncultured Bdellovibrionaceae bacterium contains 16S-23S intergenic spacer region". It matches the Rfam family "Bacterial small subunit ribosomal RNA", at positions 524 to 776 of the family's 1533-position model. The record is from RNAcentral. Lineage: Bacteria; Pseudomonadati; Bdellovibrionota; Bdellovibrionia; Bdellovibrionales; Pseudobdellovibrionaceae.